GGGGAUAUGGCGAAAUUGGUAGACGCUACGGACUUAAAAUCCGUCGACUUUAGAAAUCGUGAGG
RNAcentral lists this transfer RNA (64 nucleotides) under Turnera candida. RNAcentral describes it as "partial tRNA-Leu". RNAcentral also lists the same sequence under 1 other name. Lineage: Eukaryota; Viridiplantae; Streptophyta; Magnoliopsida; Malpighiales; Passifloraceae. The record is from RNAcentral.